Molecule: ribosomal RNA, 459 nt
Filed under: uncultured bacterium
Lineage: Bacteria
Description: partial 16S ribosomal RNA
Rfam family: Bacterial small subunit ribosomal RNA
Source: RNAcentral
CCUACGGGUGGCAGCAGUGAGGAAUAUUGGUCAAUGGGCGGAAGCCUGAACCAGCCAAGUAGCGUGCGGGAUGAAUGCCCUACGGGUCGUAAACCGCUUUUGCACGGGGAUAACACCCCUCACGUGUGGAGUUCUGCAUGUACCGUGCGAAUAAGGGCCGGCUAACUCCGUGCCAGCAGCCGCGGUAAUACGGAAGGCCCGAGCGUUAUCCGGAUUCAUUGGGCUUAAAGGGAGCGUAGGCGGGCGGUCAAGUUAGUUGUUAAAUCGCGGGGCUAAACCGCGGCCCGCAAUUGAAACUGGAGGGCUUGAGUACAGAAGAGGUAGGCGGAAUUAGUGGUGUAGCGGUGAAAUGCAUAGAUAUGACGUAGAACCCCGAUAGCGAAGGCAGCCUGCCGGGGUGCGACUGACGCUGAAGCACGAGGGUGUGGGUAUCGAACAGGAUUAGAUACCCGUGUAGUC